This 424-nucleotide long non-coding RNA is filed under the name Vulpes vulpes (red fox). RNAcentral's name for it is "lncRNA (ENSVVUG00000010696.1)". Lineage: Eukaryota; Metazoa; Chordata; Mammalia; Carnivora; Canidae. The record is from RNAcentral.
AAGCAAUGUAGUCAGAUGACCCAUAGUCCAGUGUGAUGAGGACAAUAACACAAGAGACUGAGACUGAUUAUCCCUGUCUCAAAGUGAGCUGGAGGAUGGAUUAUAAAAGAAGAAACUGGAGCCUGGGAGGCCCAUCACAGAGGAAGAAGAAGAACUGUCUAACUCAACAUUUCUUAGAGUGUGGUCUGAAAAUCUUGGGAGACCCAACAUCCUUUCAAGGGAUCUGAAAGGUCAGGGUACUUUCAAAUAUGACUAAGCUGUCAUUUGCCUUUUUCUACUACUUACAUUUGCACUGAUGCUAAAAAGCAAACGUGGGUAUAAAUGCUGGCCACUUAGCACAAGGCAGUGACACCAAACUGUACUGGUACUCUUUGUGUUCUUUAUUAUCAUACAUUCACAAGAAAAUCAAGAAACAAACAAAAAA